UUAAAAUUGACAUUUUCAGUGAAUUCCCUUUUAUUACACGACCCAAGAAAUUUGUUUGAAUAUCGGAUGACAUAUUUAUUUUAUUUUUUUAGAGUCUACAUGACUAUGCGCGUGCAAGUCUCCAAAUUAUAGUUGAAAAUUCGGAUCAAUUUGCAAUUAAUUCGGGAAAAUCGAUCAAAAUCAAAGUAUUUUACAAGGAUGACAGAAAAUCAGCUCAACCGCUCCUUGACUUGUAUGCCAAAGUUCUUCAGGAUUGUAACGACCUAAAUGUAGAAUUUGUGCCCACUCAACUCUCUACAAAGCACGAUUCAAAAAUUUCUACCAGUAUCACUUACAUCUCUGAUCCGAAAGAAUUAACGCACCUGCCAAACGGGGAGGACGCUGAGAACGCCUAUUUGUUUGUGGCGGUGCCUUCCAAGGUCCAGAUCAAAAGUAUUGUAGACACUGCCUCAAAAUUCAAACGAAAAUAUGGUGUAAUAUAUGAACAACAAUUUAAUUCUCACAAUUAUGGACUAUUAAAAAAGAAUAAAUCAGGGCAGAAAUGGAAAGUGUGUCACGUUUCAAAAAGCGUGCUUUCAACGUUGGAUGAUUUGAACUCAGAUGGAAGGAUUAUAAACGACGGUUUUGUUUUAGUCGUUCCAAAGUCUCACUGCGUGAAUCCUACAGUUAUGAUGCCAAAAAUUUUGAAAAAGGCUCGGAAAAUAAAAAUCAGGUAUGUGCUCCAAGCGUUGUAUUCAAAGUUUCUCCAUCGAAUAAAACUAAUUAUUCAAAUUCCACCUAUACUUGCUAAUUGCGAUGCCAAUGCUCUAGCAAGUGCUAUACAAUGA
RNAcentral lists this long non-coding RNA (827 nucleotides) under Bemisia tabaci. RNAcentral describes it as "lncRNA ENSSSA1NGG010083". Lineage: Eukaryota; Metazoa; Arthropoda; Insecta; Hemiptera; Aleyrodidae. The record is from RNAcentral.